RNAcentral lists this transfer RNA (75 nucleotides) under mine drainage metagenome. Its description in RNAcentral is "tRNA-Thr". It matches the Rfam family "tRNA". From Rfam's summary of the family: Transfer RNA (tRNA) molecules are approximately 80 nucleotides in length. The record is from RNAcentral.
GCCGGCUUAGCUCAGUGGUAGAGCAGCGGUUUUGUAAACCGUUGGUCGGGGGUUCAAGUCCCUCAGCCGGCAUCA